Molecule: unclassified non-coding RNA, 300 nt
Filed under: plant metagenome
Description: partial contains small subunit ribosomal RNA, internal transcribed spacer 1, and 5.8S ribosomal RNA
Source: RNAcentral
UUUCCGUAGGUGAACCUGCGGAAGGAUCAUUAUUGAAACUUGAAUCGUAGCAUCGAGAACUGUUGCUGACCUGUUAAAGGGUAUGUGCACGUUCGACGUGUUGCGUUCUAUUCAUCCACCUGUGCACCUUUGUAGACUUGAUUAACUUUCGCUCUUGAGCGGUUAGAAGAGUUGCUUUCGAGCUCCCUUUGUCUAUCAAGUCUAUGUCUAUAUAAUCUCUUGUAUGUCUAGAAUGUCUUGUUAUGGGACGCAAGUCCUUUAAAUCUUAUACAACUUUCAACAACGGAUCUCUUGGCUCUC